This 415-nucleotide long non-coding RNA is filed under the name Phoenix dactylifera (date palm). Its description in RNAcentral is "long non-coding RNA (PDAC_LNC015177)". The record is from RNAcentral. Lineage: Eukaryota; Viridiplantae; Streptophyta; Magnoliopsida; Arecales; Arecaceae.
CAUCAUUUUAAUUGGACCAAACUUUUCAUCUGUAUUCUUAUAUAAGUAUAUGUCUACUAAUACAAUACAAUACAACAGCAGCAAAGACGGUCAUUAUUUUUAUUCUCAAAAAUUUUCUUUCUUUCUUUUUUUUGCUGUAUUUGACUUUGGAUCCAGGAUAGAACCCAUUUUAUUAAAAUCAAUUAGACAUCUAAUGAGAUGAAGUAAAUUACGCCUUCCAUCCUAGUUCGCUUGAAUUAUUUGGCUCAUGCGUCCAGGGAACAGUAGGGCUAUGUUCUUCUGGCGGGAGCUAUUCAUUUGCGCACUGAUUCUGUCCUCGUUGCUGAAGUGGCAGCUGCUUGGGAGCGUCUCAAUGGUGCUCCGAUCACAUUUUCAUGCCAUUUGCGUCGCUCGAGGAGGUUCAUCCUCUAUCAUG